Molecule: long non-coding RNA, 903 nt
Organism: Mauremys reevesii (Reeves's turtle)
Lineage: Eukaryota; Metazoa; Chordata; Testudines; Geoemydidae
Exons: 5
Source: RefSeq, a predicted model, not a curated record
GCCUGGUGAAAACAACAGGGAGUCCCUGGUGAGGGGGAGGCAGUGGGCUAACCUGCUGGGAAGCAGCAGCAUAGAAGAACUCUGCAGGGCCAGGGAGUAAGGCAAAGAGCUUCAGUGUGGCCCAGGAGGGCAGAAGAAUUACUGGUUUGGGUGCCAGAUGUGGUAAACAUGGCUCUCACGUUGCACACAAUGAUUGAGAGUUUCUUGUCCCACUUCUUGAAAUGUCAGAUCACCGUUUUCUCUUCCUUGCCAGAUCUUGUUUGCAUGCACAAGUGAAAGGAGGGGGAAAAGAUCAAUGAACAAGUGAUCUCUACACCCAACACUCAGAAUCUAUGCUUUGAAAAAUCCUCCCUACAGUCUACACUUCUACAAAGAGCCCCUCUCUAGGCCUGGUAUCCGUGCUUGGUUGAGAAGACUGGAGAGUUUACAGGUUUUGAUGUGGCAGGAAAGGAGGGAGGUGAGGGUUUUGUCCCUGAGAAGCAUAGUCUAAUAGAUGGAAAUGUUAAUGAGCCAGCAUUCCAGGAUGAGGAGCCUUGGUACAGGUGUCCUUGUAAGAGAUGUUUCUGCUCUGUGAAUCGCCACAAAGCAGAGUCCAGGAUUUGGAAAGUCUUCAAAGGACCUGCCUGAAACCUCAUUAUAAAACACACAAUCUGCUUGUUUGCAUUGAGGUACAGCCAAGCUCUGCCUGGGUCUUCAGUGAAUUCUAAUCAAUGCUAGGGACCAUCUUGGGAGCCCUAUUAAUUAACAAAUAAAAGAGUGUUUCUUAUAUUAAGACUACAUUGUAAAGAGUUGAAGGAUGAUGUGGUUGCUAGGUGUGUUUACUAAAUAGUUAUUCCAUUUGUUUGGGUCCAUCAGAUAAAUAAAUAAUAUUGCUUAUAACAAUCAUCAUGUGCAGGGGCGGCU